Molecule: ribosomal RNA, 519 nt
Filed under: uncultured fungus
Lineage: Eukaryota; Fungi
Description: eukaryotic LSU rRNA
Rfam family: 5.8S ribosomal RNA (bases 154-307)
Source: RNAcentral
CGUUUUUUGAAAUGGGUUCUAUUCCCAAACCGUGUAUACAUACCUUUGUUGCUUUGGCAGGCCGCCUUCUAGGCGUCGGCUCCGGCUGACUGCGCCUGCCAGAGGACCCAAACUCUUUUGUUUAGUGAUGUCUGAGUACUAUAUAAUAGUUAAAACUUUCAACAACGGAUCUCUUGGUUCUGGCAUCGAUGAAGAACGCAGCGAAAUGCGAUAAGUAAUGUGAAUUGCAGAAUUCAGUGAAUCAUCGAAUCUUUGAACGCACAUUGCGCCCCUUGGUAUUCCGAGGGGCAUGCCUGUUCGAGCGUCAUUAUAACCACUCAAGCCUCGGCUUGGUCUUGGGGUUCGCGGUCUCGCGGCCCUUAAAAUCAGUGGCGGUGCCGUCUGGCUCUAAGCGUAGUAAUUCUCUCGCUAUAGGGUCUAGGCGACCACCUGCCAGAACCCCCCAUUCUUUACGGUUGACCUCGGAUCAGGUAGGGAUACCCGCUGAACUUAAGCAUAUCAAUAAGCGGAGGAAAAGAA